GCGUUCGUCAGUUCCUUACGGCAAGUCGAUCAGUUAGGGUGUGUUAUUGUUGCAUUAGUUGAUUUCAAAGUUGUUUCGAAAAUUAUUAUUUAUAUAAGUGAUACCGCGAUUUACUAAUUAAAUCUUAGUAAUUAUCAAAAGUGACGAUCGUGUGAUUAAAUCAAUAACGCUAAUUCGCAGUGCGAACUCUUGUUUCACGGGAUUUUUUUUUUUAGUGACGCUCCCCUUCACAAACGGCUGCUGUUGAAACCUCUUCGAUUUGGAUUUCCACCCUCAUCCACCCUUUUGGAUUUACCACGGAUAAUCAGCAAGGAAUUUCUAUUAAUAAGGUUCGUUUCUAGUCUUGAUGAUCAGUUCUUAAUUUAAAAUUCGUCAGUAUUGGUGCCUCUAUUUUUUUUUUUUUUUUUUGGAGUCUGCGUUCUCAUGCUUGGGAGGUUAAGUUGGGGUUAAAAAGCAAAAAGAAGUUCACAGCUUUAAUUCUUAAGACCUGACCCGACAGCAAAAGCGUCGAGGGAGAUUAUCGCGUGGAUAAAAUAGCUGGCUUAAUUAUCCGGUGAGAGAAUAAACAUUAUUUCAAGGAUGUGUAAGGUAACAAAUUUUACAAUAUGAAGAUAUAAAAUACACGCGGUGAAAAAUAUAAAGGUGAGCUUUCAUUAUCGAUGUGUAAUUAACUGAAACUUCGGG
Long non-coding RNA from Leptopilina boulardi, 684 nucleotides. RefSeq lists it as uncharacterized. The transcript is spliced from 6 exons. The record is from RefSeq and is a predicted model, not a curated record. NCBI's taxonomy places the organism in Eukaryota, Metazoa, Arthropoda, Insecta, Hymenoptera, Figitidae.